UGUUGUUUGCAGUGAUCGUGGAUCAGUGGUGAUAUUAGUUAUUUGUAAAAGGACACGUUGAAUAAAUUCAAUUUCAAUCACAGUUUUAUUAUUCCAUAACCUACACGGUGAUAGAUACGGUGUGCGGCAUAGUCGUCGUCACUUAGCUAUCAAGUAAACCGCACGACCUAUAUAUUGAUCCGGUGACGCGCGCGGGGACGUGGA
Non-coding RNA from Cinara cedri, 204 nucleotides. The record is from the annotation of a GenBank genome assembly. NCBI's taxonomy places the organism in Eukaryota, Metazoa, Arthropoda, Insecta, Hemiptera, Aphididae.